CAACAUCCUACGUUGAAAAUGGACUAGACGAUACUGAUAACAAUAAUGGUUUUAUGCAAAAUUGCAGUGCAACAGAUCACUCAACGGUUGCUGAGCAUGAAUUAACAUUUUUAGCGCUUGGAAUAGUUUCAACAUCCUAUGUUUAAUAUGGAUUAGAAGAUUGCAGUACAGCAGAUUUUUCAAGCCAUGAUGAAACAUGAAUUAUCGUUUUGAGCACUUGGGAAAAUUUGGAUAUCCCAUGUUGAAAUUUGACUAGACAAUACUGAUAAUAAUAAUAAUA
Rhopalosiphum maidis (corn leaf aphid) is the source of this 280-nucleotide long non-coding RNA. RefSeq lists it as uncharacterized. The record is from RefSeq and is a predicted model, not a curated record. NCBI's taxonomy places the organism in Eukaryota, Metazoa, Arthropoda, Insecta, Hemiptera, Aphididae. The transcript has 3 exons.